UUUUCCUUGAAUUAAUUUGAAAAUAACACUCUUCAGUAAACUCAAACUUUCUAUACUGAAUGGUUCAUGCUGGCUUAACAGAAAAAUCAAAAGGAGAUGAUGUGCUUGAAGAGUAUGAAGCCACCAAUAUAUGAGAGUUGUCCAACCUCAACGCAGAGAGAUCAGUAUGCACUUGGAAUUGUGACUGUCUCUGUCGUUAGAAGACCCAUUUUCUAGGGAAGGUGUGUGAUGCUGCAAAUAGGAGUGGAUAUCUUGCUUGGCUGAAAACUGCUGAGAAACGCAUCUUGUCGUGCUGAAAAAAAAGAAGUCUAGAAGAAAGAAAAAGACUAUUCUCUCCAAGGAGGUCCAAACACCAUCACAGACAUUGAUUAGUGAGCCUUAACAUGUAUUCUGCAUUUAUGGUAAUGAAUGGAAUGCUGUUGUUUAACCUGAUAAAUGUCAGCAUUAUAAAUCUUAUGACAUUAAGAGUACAUAUGGACCAAAUAAGAAUGUUUUUUGUGUCUUUGCACUGAUUUGCUUUGACAUUAUGAUGUUUAAUUGUUGUAAGGCCAUGCUCUUUACAUUGAAUUUUAGAAUUUUAGAUUUAGAAUUUAUUUAUUUGUUUUUAUUUUGAAUUGCUUUGAAUUGAAACAUUGAAAGUGAAGACAUUUUGGUGCAGGG
Molecule: long non-coding RNA, 660 nt
Organism: Cyprinus carpio carpio
Lineage: Eukaryota; Metazoa; Chordata; Actinopteri; Cypriniformes; Cyprinidae
Source: Ensembl